UCUCUCUCCUUCUGCAUGUGGCAGCUGUGGAUGCAUCGGACUUCUCAGGCACUUCAUUCCCUAAAGUCUUUGCGGUUUUUGUUGUUAAACGAGGGCUGCGCAGCUGCUGUUUUUGAAUGCACUCUUUUGACAUGAUGGUCAUUAUUCAUAUUCCUCUACGAGACGGCAGGAUCACGACACCUCUGUGGAGUGAAAGUCAACCGCAGAAAAAGUGAGAGUUAUGAUUGCAGCAAUGCUUUGAUGGUGCAGUAUGAAGAGAUCUGGUGUGUGCAGAGAUGGUCAGGAGCUUGUUUCGAGGACGAGGGCUUGUUGGGCCGGACGCUUCUCAUGUAGGCGUCAUGUUUAUACAGAUUGCGCUCACGGAAAUUCAGCGAUUUCUCAGAAAAGUUCUUUGGAAAGUUGAGGUUCUCUAAGUGCCUUGAACCCACUACUAUAAAUUGUUUGUUCAAUAAGACAUGGCGUAGGUGAAUAAAAGUCACCAAUUA
Long non-coding RNA from Rhinichthys klamathensis goyatoka, 485 nucleotides. RefSeq lists it as uncharacterized. The record is from RefSeq and is a predicted model, not a curated record. The transcript is spliced from 2 exons. Lineage: Eukaryota; Metazoa; Chordata; Actinopteri; Cypriniformes; Leuciscidae.